AAUCCGGUUGAUCCUGCCGGACCUGACUGCUAUCGGAUUGAUACUAAGCCAUGCGAGUCAUUGUAGCAAUACAAGGCAGACGGCUCAGUAACGCGUAGUCAACCUACCCUAUGGACGGGAAUAACCUCGGGAAACUGAGAAUAAUGCCCGAUAGAACAUUAUGCCUGGAAUGGUUUAUGUUUCAAAUGAUUUAUCGCCGUAGGAUGGGACUGCGGCCUAUCAGUUUGUUGGUGAGGUAAUGGCCCACCAAGACUAUUACAGGUACGGGCUCUGAGAGGAGUAGCCCGGAGAUGGGUACUGAGACACGGA
RNAcentral lists this ribosomal RNA (309 nucleotides) under Candidatus Nitrosopumilus sp. Its description in RNAcentral is "bacterial SSU rRNA". It matches the Rfam family "Archaeal small subunit ribosomal RNA", at positions 1 to 314 of the family's 1478-position model. Lineage: Archaea; Thermoproteati; Nitrososphaerota; Nitrososphaeria; Nitrosopumilales; Nitrosopumilaceae. The record is from RNAcentral.